CAUAGGUUAAUGAGGCGAACCGGGGGAACUGAAACAUCUAAGUACCCCGAGGAAAAGAAAUCAACCGAGAUUCCCCCAGUAGCGGCGAGCGAACGGGGAGCAGCCCAGAGCCUGAAUCAGUGUGUGUGUUAGUGGAAGCGUCUGGAAAGGCGCGCGAUACAGGGUGACAGCCCCGUACACAAAAAUGCACAUGCUGUGAGCUCGAUGAGUAGGGCGGGACACGUGGUAUCCUGUCUGAAUAUGGGGGGACCAUCCUCCAAGGCUAAAUACUCCUGACUGACCGAUAGUGAACCAGUACCGUGAGGGAAAGGCGAAAAGAACCCCGGCGAGGGGAGUGAAAAAGAACCUGAAACCGUGUACGUACAAGCAGUGGGAGCACGCUUCGGCGUGUGACUGCGUACCUUUUGUAUAAUGGGUCAGCGACUUAUAUUCUGUAGCAAGGUUAACCGAAUAGGGGAGCCGAAGGGAAACCGAGUCUUAACUGGGCGUUAAGUUGCAGGGUAUAGACCCGAAACCCGGUGAUCUAGCCAU
This 531-nucleotide ribosomal RNA is filed under the name Escherichia coli. Its description in RNAcentral is "partial 23S ribosomal RNA". It matches the Rfam family "Bacterial large subunit ribosomal RNA", at positions 165 to 737 of the family's 2925-position model. Lineage: Bacteria; Pseudomonadati; Pseudomonadota; Gammaproteobacteria; Enterobacterales; Enterobacteriaceae. The record is from RNAcentral.